GGGACGGUAGCUCAGCUGGUUAGAGCUCCGAGCUUAUACCUCGGCGGUCGAUGGUUCGAAUCCAUCCCGUCCCACCA
RNAcentral lists this transfer RNA (77 nucleotides) under Candidatus Uhrbacteria bacterium CG22_combo_CG10-13_8_21_14_all_47_17. RNAcentral's name for it is "tRNA-Ile". It matches the Rfam family "tRNA". Rfam says of the family: Transfer RNA (tRNA) molecules are approximately 80 nucleotides in length. Their secondary structure includes four short double-helical elements and three loops (D, anti-codon, and T loops). Lineage: Bacteria; Candidatus Uhriibacteriota. The record is from RNAcentral.